ACCGUCGAUCCGCCGCCGCCGAACCGUUCCGUGGCUGCAUGCUGCUGCCGUUGCUCUUGCGGCCGCGAGGUCGUGCCAGGAGGGAGGGAGGCAAGGGCCCGCCGCCGUCGGAGGUCGGGGCCGUGGGGCGCGGAUGCGUGGCCGUGCGGUCGAGCGGGGCGAGGCGGGGGCUAGGCGACUGCGGGGGCUGGCGGCGUGGUCGAGCAGUCGAGCGGGCGGGGUGGCCGCCUGGGUGCGCGCGGGUUGGGGGGAGUCAGGCGGCUGAGGUGGGGAUGACUCGGGGUAGGGUUUGUAGUUGGGCCGGAUUGGGCCUUGGAUAGACUAGUUGGGCUAAAUUUGUGUGGGCUCGGUUCUUCGGUUAACCGAACUUAAGAACCGAAGAACCGAGUAAAAUUCGGUUCCUCAGAACCAAGAACCGAAGCAGAACCGAAUUUCCUCGGUUCCGGUUCUUUCGGUUCCGGUUCUCGGUAUUUACGGUUCGGUUCUCGGUUCUCGGUUAUAUUUGCCCACCCCGACCAAUCCGAAUGCCUGAGCACUCAGCAAGCAUUUUCGUUACACCGAUCCCCUAUGAUAUCAGUUCUUAGCUACCUCGGGAUAGCCAUAAGAUAUGGAUCCAACUCGGUUCUCUGACCCUGAAGCCCUAGUUUGAGUCGUUGAGACUUUCUGAGUGGUUCCGACGUCCGGGUCGCCCUGGCUGGGUCACGGAGACACGCCGGGUCGUAAGUGGCGUCUAGCCCCCGACUCAGCAGCAGUUGGGGAUGCUGCGCUCCGCGGGGCUGCUCAGCCCCAUCGCCUACCUCGACAAGAUCUCCUCGCUCGCGCGGGUGGCCGCCGACGUCUUCCUCGGCGAGGCUCUGUACUGGUUGGGGACUGAACGAGUUUGACCCGACAGGGGAAACUGUUCACAAACUAGUAACUGACGUAUGCUCGCAGCCGGGGAUCAAUUGCUACAAUCUGAUGUCAGUAUUCACAGGUGACAAUUGCUGCGUGGACAACUCAUCUGUCCAGAUCUUCUUCCUUGCCCACGAGCCACAAGCUUCUGCAACCAAGAACAUGGUGCAUUUGGCUUAAAUGAUCCGUCGGGGGACGAUCGCCAAGUACCACUACGGCAACGCAGCGGACAACACGAAGCACUACGGGCAGGCGACGCCGCCGGCCUACGACGUGUCGGCGAUCCCCGACGACUUCCCGCUCUUCCUCAGCUACGGCGGCAGGGACAGCCUCUCGGACGUGCAGGACGUGAGACACCUGGUCCAGGCACUCAAGUCGCACGACGGCGACAAGCUCACGGUUCAGUACCGACUACGCGCACGCCGACUUCGUCAUGGCCAUCAACGCCCGGGAUAGGGUGUACGCGCCUCUAAUGGCUUUCUUCAAGCUCCAGGAGAAAUGACGCGCCGGUGACUGUCACUAUGGUAGGCGGUAGCAAUGUAAAUGAUGUGCAGUUAUAGAAGUCGGACACUGCUAGAAAACUUAGCAUUAGCAUCGGACACGGAUCGGAUCAGUACAGAUUAUCGUUGUAUAGUGUUAUUAUUCCCUAGUCAAGUUUCAACCCAAUGGAAUUCCUCCGGUUAUGUUCCAUCUCAAAGCAAUAUCUAGUUUUUAAUGCUGUAUUCUCAAUUAA
Panicum virgatum (switchgrass) is the source of this 1624-nucleotide long non-coding RNA. RefSeq lists it as uncharacterized. The transcript has 5 exons. The record is from RefSeq and is a predicted model, not a curated record. NCBI's taxonomy places the organism in Eukaryota, Viridiplantae, Streptophyta, Magnoliopsida, Poales, Poaceae.